RNAcentral lists this long non-coding RNA (695 nucleotides) under Equus asinus (donkey). Its description in RNAcentral is "lncRNA (ENSEASG00005029488.1)". Lineage: Eukaryota; Metazoa; Chordata; Mammalia; Perissodactyla; Equidae. The record is from RNAcentral.
GACCGGCCGCAGGCGCUGCUGUGAGAUGCGGCACCGCCUCUCGCGGUCCAGCCGGAAGUUUGUUUCCGCCGCGGGGUCUUCUGGGACGUGUAGUGUGGCCUGGGAGCGCCAUAGGGCCGAUCGGUUGGCCUUGAUCGCUCAGGCCCGGGCGAGGGGUGACUGCGGUGCGUCCGCCGCAGAGUCGCGGAGACCAGAACACCUGGCCGGCGGAAGGGAUGAUAGAGCGGAGUCUGAGGAGCCUGAAGAAGAGGCAUCCCAGGGCCCUGACAGCAGCCAGGCCUGUUGGGGAGAAGGGCAUGGGGGUGACCCUCCUGCCGCACAAGCUACCCAGCCAGCUUUAGCAUUUACUGGGGACAAACAGAAAGAAGAGCCAGAGGACCUAGAAUCCCUGGCGGAGGUCUGUGCUGUUUGGAUUGGUGUGAUCCUGCCUUCAACAUUGCCCCUCUUUCAAGACCUUACCCACUUUGAGAACGAACAGGACUGGAGUAAAGGCAAAGAUCUGUCCUUCCCUAAGAGGGACCCAGGGCCACAGGCACUGGUCAAGGAUGAAUCAUCUCAUGACCAAGAAGGAAUGAACAAUGAUGACUUUGCUAUAUUCACUAGAGGUUUAAGGUUUUUCUUUAAUAUUAAAUUUCUGAUAUUAAGUCAAGUGUGUACCACAGUUAAGAGUGUUUCCAUAAACAAUAAAAGUCAAA